AGUGAACGCUGGCGGUAGGCCUAACACAUGCAAGUCGAACGGCAGCACAGUAAGAGCUUGCUCUUACGGGUGGCGAGUGGCGGACGGGCGAGGAAUACAUCGGAAUCUACUUUUUCGUGGGGGAUAACGUAGGGAAACUUACGCUAAUGCCGCAUACGACCUACGGGUGAAAGCAGGGGAUCUUCGGACCUUGCGCGAUUGAAUGAGCCGAUGUCGGAUUAGCUAGUUGGCGGGGUAAAGGCCCACCAAGGCGACGAUCCGUAGCUGGUCUGAGAGGAUGAUCAGCCACACUGGAACUGAGACACGGUCCAGACUCCUACGGGAGGCAGCAGUGGGGAAUAUUGGACAAUGGGCGCAAGCCUGAUCCAGCCAUACCGCGUGGGUGAAGAAGGCCUUCGGGUUGUAAAGCCCUUUUGUUGGGAAAGAAAAGCAGCAGGUUAAUACCCCGCUGUUCUGACGGUACCCAAAGAAUAAGCACCGGCUAACUUCGUG
This 492-nucleotide ribosomal RNA is filed under the name uncultured bacterium. Its description in RNAcentral is "partial 16S ribosomal RNA". It matches the Rfam family "Bacterial small subunit ribosomal RNA", at positions 29 to 507 of the family's 1533-position model. The record is from RNAcentral.